CGACCUCCAAACCCAUCUCCUC
Molecule: non-coding RNA, 22 nt
Filed under: Arabidopsis thaliana (thale cress)
Lineage: Eukaryota; Viridiplantae; Streptophyta; Magnoliopsida; Brassicales; Brassicaceae
Source: RNAcentral